CGUAGGUGCAAGCGUUGUCCGGAAUUAUUGGGCGUAAGAGCUCGUAGGCGGUGUGUCGCGUCUGCCGUGAAACCUGCGGCUUAACCGUGGGCGUGCGGUGGAUACGGGCACACUUGAGUUCGGUAGGGAGACUGGAAUUCCUGGUGUAGCGGUGGAAUGCGCAGAUAUCAGGAGGAACACCAGUGGCGAAGGCGGGUCUCUGGGCCGAAACUGACGCUGAGGAGCGAAAGCGUGGGGAGCGAACAGGAUU
Molecule: ribosomal RNA, 250 nt
Filed under: uncultured bacterium
Lineage: Bacteria
Description: partial 16S ribosomal RNA
Rfam family: Bacterial small subunit ribosomal RNA
Source: RNAcentral